GGGAAUUAUUGGACAAUGGGCGAAAGCCUGAUCCAGCCAUGCCGCGUGUGUGAAGAAGGUCUUCGGAUUGUAAAGCACUUUAAGUUGGGAGGAAGGGCAGUAAGUUAAUACCUUGCUGUUUUGACGUUACCGACAGAAUAAGCACCGGCUAACUCUGUGCCAG
This 163-nucleotide ribosomal RNA is filed under the name uncultured bacterium. RNAcentral's name for it is "partial 16S rRNA". It matches the Rfam family "Bacterial small subunit ribosomal RNA", at positions 356 to 511 of the family's 1533-position model. The record is from RNAcentral.